GCGCGCACACUAAUAAGUGCCAUGGUGGUGGACGUUUUAUUUAUGGUGGAAGGCAGUCGGUACAAGCCAUAAUUAAUGUUCCCUUAAAGUUGUUUUUGUCCUUGAAAAUCCUUAACACAAUAAUGAGUCGGCAAAAACUCCAUGAAAACAUUAUUGUCACGAGUUAAUUCAGAAACACUAAGAAGACUUUUGAUGAGUUUAGGAACAAUAAACACAUUAGGUAAGCAAAGAUUAGGCAAUAAACAUGAACCCGCAU
RNAcentral lists this long non-coding RNA (256 nucleotides) under Lupinus angustifolius (narrow-leaved blue lupine). Its description in RNAcentral is "long non-coding RNA (LANG_LNC002953)". The record is from RNAcentral. Lineage: Eukaryota; Viridiplantae; Streptophyta; Magnoliopsida; Fabales; Fabaceae.